AACUAACGCUGGCGGCGUGCCUAACACAUGCAAGUCGUACGAGAAAGUUGGCUUCGGCCGAUGAGUAAAGUGGCGCACGGGUGAGUAAUGCGUGGAUAAUCUGCCCUUUAGUUGGGAAUAACGUACCGAAAGGUGCGCUAAUACCUGAUAAUACUGCAUAACUACUGUUGUGUAGUCAAAGAAGGCCUCUGUUUACAAGCUUUUGCUGAAGGAUGAGUCCGCGUACCAUUAGCUGGUUGGUGGGGUAAUGGCCUACCAAGGCUACGAUGGUUAGCUGGUCUGAGAGGAUGAUCAGCCACACUGGAACUGAGACACGGUCCAGACUCCUACGGGAGGCAGCAGUGAGGAAUAUUGCGCAAUGGGGGCAACCCUGACGCAGCAACGCCGCGUGAGUGAGGAAGGUUUUCGGACCGUAAAGCUCUGUCGAGCGGGAAGAAAUGUAUCAUGGCUAAUAUCCAUGAUACUGACGGUACCGCUAAAGGAAGCACC
RNAcentral lists this ribosomal RNA (489 nucleotides) under uncultured bacterium. RNAcentral's name for it is "bacterial SSU rRNA". It matches the Rfam family "Bacterial small subunit ribosomal RNA", at positions 29 to 494 of the family's 1533-position model. The record is from RNAcentral.